RNAcentral lists this transfer RNA (74 nucleotides) under Planctomycetota bacterium. RNAcentral's name for it is "Planctomycetes bacterium tRNA-Cys". It matches the Rfam family "tRNA". Rfam says of the family: Transfer RNA (tRNA) molecules are approximately 80 nucleotides in length. Their secondary structure includes four short double-helical elements and three loops (D, anti-codon, and T loops). Lineage: Bacteria; Pseudomonadati; Planctomycetota. RNAcentral also lists the same sequence under 4 other names. The record is from RNAcentral.
GGCGGCGUGGCCAAGUGGUCUAAGGCGACGGUUUGCAAAACCGUUAUUCGCCGGUUCGAAUCCGGCCGCCGCCU